RNAcentral lists this ribosomal RNA (944 nucleotides) under Lissachatina fulica (giant African snail). RNAcentral describes it as "16S ribosomal RNA". It matches the Rfam family "Bacterial large subunit ribosomal RNA", at positions 714 to 2699 of the family's 2925-position model. The record is from RNAcentral. Lineage: Eukaryota; Metazoa; Mollusca; Gastropoda; Stylommatophora; Achatinidae.
CCCGAAAUUUACUUGAUCUAAGAGUUUCACACUUUUAGCAGCUAAACUUAAGUGUAGCAUAACUUAGGGUCAAGAUUCUCUUAGGGGUGAUAUGCCAAUCAAGUUAAAAGAUAUCUGGGUGUAGGGGAAAUAUAUUUAGUAUAUAUAGUACAUAGCAUAAACUAUAAGGUUUAUGCCACACAAUAUUAUCAAUUAAUUAUAUUAGAAUUAUUUAAUAAUUAAUAAUUAAUCAGUCCACUCUUAUAGAACUUAGUUUUAUGCGUAUUUGAAUUAAUACCCUAAGCUUUAGUGAAAUUUUUCACUUAAUCUAUAAUGUAAAUAUUAGUAAGUAUUUUAAAUCUUUAUGAAGGAACUCGGCAAACCUAUUUCUCUUGUCUGUUUACCAAAAACAUAGCUUAAAGAGUGCGUAACACAGAUUUUAAGUAACCCCUGCCCGGUGAGUUAUAGAAACUUUAACGGCCGCAGUACCUUGACUGUGCAAAGGUAGCAUAAUAAUUUGUCCUCUAAUUAAGGUCUGGAAUGAAGGGGGACACAGGGGAGAGCUGUCUCCAAUAAGGUUAAUUUAACUUUCUUAUCAGGUGAAAAUUCCUGAGCCUCCGAUGAAAGACGAGAAGACCCUUAGAGUUUUUAUUAUAACUUGAUAUAUUAAGAUUCUUGUUCUGUUUUUGUUGGGGCGACAGGGUUACAAUAGAUAACUUACCCUACCAUAUUUUUAUAUGGCGAUCAUUAUACUUUUAAUUAAGCUACCUAAGGGAUAACAGCGUAAUCUUUUUUUUUUGGUUUGCGACCUCGAUGUUGGACUAGGGGCCUACUGGUUAGUUACCAUUAUGGGGCGGUUCUGUUCGAACUUUUCCUACCCUACAUGAUCUGAGUUCAGACCGGCGCAAGCCAGGUCAGUUUCUAUCUUCCAUUUUGAUUUUAAUUAGUACGAAAGGAUCAUUAAA